This 1521-nucleotide ribosomal RNA is filed under the name uncultured Planctomycetales bacterium. RNAcentral describes it as "16S ribosomal RNA". It matches the Rfam family "Bacterial small subunit ribosomal RNA". Lineage: Bacteria; Pseudomonadati; Planctomycetota; Planctomycetia; Planctomycetales. The record is from RNAcentral.
CAUGCAAGUCGAACGAGGAUAUAUCCUUCGGGAUAUAAGCCGAGUGGCGCAAGGGUGAGUAAUGCAUAGAUUACCUGCCUCUAGGAUAAGGACAACUUUGUGAAAACGAAGCUAAUACUUAAUAAUACAAAAGAAAAUAAUUUUCCUUUGUCAAAGGGAGGGUAGCAAUACCUUUUGCCUAGAGAGGGGUUUAUGUCCUAUCAGCUUGUUGGUGGGGUAAUGGCCUACCAAGGCGAAGACGGGUAGCCGGUCUUAGAGGAUGGUCGGCCACACUGGGACUGAGACACUGCCCAGACUUCUACGGAAGGCUGCAGUCGAGAAUCUUUCGCAAUGCCCGAAAGGGUGACGAAGCGACGCCGCGUGAGUGAGGAAGGCCUUAGGGUUGUAAAGCUCUGUCAGGAGUUAAGAAAUAUAAGUGUGUUAAUACCACAUUUAUUUGACGAAGGCUCCAAAGGAAGCCACGGCUAACUCUGUGCCAGCAGCCGCGGUAAUACAGAGGUGGCAAGCGUUGUUCGGAAUUAUUGGGCGUAAAGAGCACGUAGGUGGGUUUGUAAGUCAGAUGUGAAAGCCUUCUGUUCAACGGAAGAAUUGCAUCUGAAACUAUAAGUCUUGAGUGUAGGAGGGGAGAAUGGAACUUCUGGUGGAGCGGUGAAAUGCGUAGAUAUCAGAAGGAACGCCGGCGGCGAAAGCGAUUCUCUGGCCUAUUACUGACACUCAGUGUGCGAAAGCUAGGGGAGCAAACGGGAUUAGAUACCCCGGUAGUCCUAGCUGUAAACGAUGGGCACUAAGUAGAGGGGAUUACCGAUGUUCUCUCUGCCGUAGCUAACGCAUUAAGUGCCCCGCCUGGGGAGUACGGCCGCAAGGCUAAAACUCAAAAGAAUUGACGGGGGCUCGCACAAGCGGUGGAGCAUGUGGCUUAAUUCGAUGCAACGCGAAAAACCUUACCGGGGCUUGACAUGGUAGAAGUAGGAACCCGAAAGGGUAACGAACGGUAUCCAGUCCGUAGCUAUCACAGGUGUUGCAUGGCUGUCGUCAGCUCGUGUCGUGAGACGUUGGGUUAAGUCCCCUAACGAGCGAAACCCUUGUUUUUAGUUACCAGCGGGUUAUGCCGGGUACUCUAGAAAGACUGCCGUCGUCAAGACGGAGGAAGGUGGGGAUGACGUCAAGUCAUCAUGGCCCUUAUGCCCCGGGCUGCACACGUGCUACAAUGGUCGGUACAAACGGAAGCGAAGCCGAGAGGUGAAGCGAAUCCUAAAAAGCCGAUCUCAGUUCGGAUUGGAGGCUGAAAUUCGCCUCCAUGAAGUUGGAAUCGCUAGUAAUCGCGGAUCAGCAAUGCCGCGGUGAAUAUGUUCCCGAGCCUUGUACACACCGCCCGUCAAGCCACCCAAGCAGGAUGCACCCGAAAACAUUAUAUCUAACCAGGGCAACUUGGAGGAAAGUGUUGAAGGAGUGUUUUGUGAGGAGGACUAAGUCGUAACAAGGUAGUCGUAGGAGAACCUGCGGCUGGAUCACCUCCUUUCU